This 435-nucleotide ribosomal RNA is filed under the name uncultured bacterium. RNAcentral describes it as "partial 16S ribosomal RNA". It matches the Rfam family "Bacterial small subunit ribosomal RNA", at positions 29 to 507 of the family's 1533-position model. The record is from RNAcentral.
AACGAACGCUGGCGGCAUGCCUAACACAUGCAAGUCGAACGAUUGCCUUCGGGUGAUAGUGGCGCACGGGUGCGUAACGCGUGGGAAUCUGCCCUUAGGUUCGGAAUAACAGCUGGAAACGGCUGCUAAUACCGGAUGAUAUCGCGAGAUCAAAGAUUUAUCGCCUGAGGAUGAGCCCGCGUUGGAUUAGGUAGUUGGUGGGGUAAAGGCCUACCAAGCCGACGAUCCAUAGCUGGUCUGAGAGGAUGAGCAGCCACACUGGGACUGAGACACGGCCCAGACUCCUACGGGAGGCAGCAGUGGGGAAUAUUGGACAAUGGGCGCAAGCCUGAUCCAGCAAUGCCGCGUGAGUGAUGAAGGCCCUAGGGUUGUAAAGCUCUUUUACCCGGGAAGAUAAUGACUGUACCGGGAGAAUAAGCCCCGGCUAACUCCGUG